RNAcentral lists this unclassified non-coding RNA (343 nucleotides) under soil metagenome. RNAcentral describes it as "partial contains 5.8S ribosomal RNA, internal transcribed spacer 2, and large subunit ribosomal RNA". The stretch from base 1 to 120 matches the Rfam family "5.8S ribosomal RNA", at positions 35 to 154 of the family's 154-position model. The record is from RNAcentral.
GAUGAAGAACGUAGCGAAACGCGAUAAGUAAUGUGAAUUGCAGAAUCCAGUGAAUCAUCGAAUCUUUGAACGCACAUUGCGCCCGCCAGCAUUCUGGCGGGCAUGCCUGUUCGAGCGUCAUUUCAACCCUCGACCUCCCCUUGGGGAGGUCGGCGUUGGGGACCGGCAGCACACCGCCGGCCCUGAAAUGGAGUGGCGGCCCGUCCGCGGCGACCUCUGCGCAGUAAUACAGCUCGCACCGGGACCCCGACGCGGCCACGCCGUAAAACACCCAACUUCUGAACGUUGACCUCGAAUCAGGUAGGACUACCCGCUGACCUUAAGCAUAUCAAUAAGCGGAGGA